ACUAAAUCCAUGCAAUGCAGCUGGAGGAUGCCAAGGCUAAAAGAGAGACUGCUGGAUGGGAAACCACUGUAAAUAAUUAAACAUAUUCAUCAUCCCAUAGAAGUCAUGAAAUGAUGACUUAGGCAAGGUUUCAAAAAUUUAUUUUUAUUUCGUGUGCAUUGGUAUUUUGCCCACAUGAAUGUCUAGAAGAGGGUGUUGGAUCCCCUGGAACUGGAGCUACAUACAGUAAUGAGCUGCCCUGUGGAACUGAACCCGGGUCCUCUGGAAGAACAGCCAGUAAGUAGUGGUAAUUUAAAGGUUGUUAUAUUUUAAAAGGAUUUUCCUUAGAUGUAGGAGUGGCAAUGGUUUCUCUUUAUCCUUUUUAUACUUUUACUAAAUAUGCAGCAUUUUCUAAGGAAUAGUCGUUAAACACA
RNAcentral lists this long non-coding RNA (413 nucleotides) under Cricetulus griseus (Chinese hamster). RNAcentral's name for it is "lncRNA (ENSCGRG00015030155.1)". The record is from RNAcentral. Lineage: Eukaryota; Metazoa; Chordata; Mammalia; Rodentia; Cricetidae.